UCCUAUUUCAUAUUCUUCAUCAAGAAAUUUGAGGAUUCUUCUUCGUGACACCAUCUCUAUUGAAACCCUAACUUCACCUUCUUCAUCAAGAAAUUUUUGGUUCAUUGUUUUGCAUGUUGCUUGCUAUGUUAUAGAAUUGAUGAGUAUAUCAAUCGCUAUUUGUAAUUGAAACCCUAACUAUCAAAAAGCGAUUCUGAUUCCAUCAAUCUUGCCUAAAAUCUGGUGUGUUCUUCGAUCUAAACAGGCACAGGGCGGCGGCUAGGGUUCCACCACCACAUAAAGCUGACACUUCACUCUCAUUGUUAUUGUUUUACCAUACCCGGAUUUUGACCCGACUACAUAAACUCCUUAAUUAACCUAAUUACUCAUUCGCCUCAUUCAACAACGCUGCUGUGCAAAACACGGUCGGCAUCUACUUGGUUUUGCGAUGAAGGUAAAAUAUGAUAGAUUUGGAGACAAGUUCUUUGCAAUUCAAGAGUUUAUUAUGUGGGAAGGAAAACUAAAAGAGGGGAUUAUAGUGGAGAUUGUACCACCAAAAUCAUCUAAAACAGAGGUCCGAAGGUUAAAAGAUGGCGAAACUAUUGGCAAGAGUACACAUUUUGAGUUUUUUUAAUUUUCUUGCGUAUACGAGUUUUCAUGAAGAAUUGAAUUGUUGGCUCAAAUUUGAGGAAAAAAAUGUCCAGCUUUUUUAGCUUAAAAAGAUGGUGUUUGCUUUAAAAAAAAAUUCGUGACUAAUGAGAAUGCGUUAAUGAGUGAUGCUAAUCUCAACCACCAUGUAUUUAUCGGGUAGUUAACGAACUUACAUUGUGAUUCUAUAGAAAGGUCGUGGCUGUAGCAAUAGUUAACCAUCGCAUCACUCGCUGGAUAAUUAGUUCGUAGAUAGACGUAUGGGGGUUGCUGGUUUUAAUGGUCAAGAUACUCAAUUUUUCCCAGUGGUGUAAAGGAUGCAAGUGGAAUCAUUUACACAGCAACUGUUGUCUCUGUUACAAUCUCCCAAUGUGGAGGUGUAUUUGAUACAUUCACAUAAGGGAUGAGCUUGGUACCAACCGGUACGGACCGGUAUUUGAAGUUAAAAACCGGUACCGAAAACGUAAAAUGUUGGUACCGAAUCGGUACCAAAAAUCAAGUCCGUUCGGAAAUUUGAUAUCGGUUUCGAACCGGUACCCGAUACUAUUUUCUCAUCCGUAAUUCACAGUGAAAAGGCGUCUUCAGUUACUAGAGCUAUAAGUUGAAUGACAUUAUGUUUAAGUUAUAUAUUCAUGUAUUUAGAUUAAGUUAUUGAUAUACUGACCUAUUUUGAUCUAUUAUACCUGAUGCUAAUGUAUGGUGGUUCGGGUCUGCCAUGACAUGUAUUACAUGUAUGCUUAAAAAUUAGAAAAAAAUAGUAAGUUUUCUAAUCCAUGUAUUUCUGGUAAUCGUGUAUGCUUUAAUAUCACAAGCUAAGGAGUGAGUAACUAAGUUUCUAAUUUAAUCUUAGCAUUUCUGGUAAUUAGUCACACACAGACAUUAUUUUUGGAGUUACCAAAGAAGACUGGGUCUUCUAUUAGUAUGUAAAAUAUGGAAUUCGGGUAGAAGUGGUUAGGUAAUGGUUUUGUUCACAUGAAGAACAUAGCAUCAGUAAAAUAUGUGUGCUUUACUAUAUCCCUAAGAUUGAUUCCAAUGUCCAGUAUGCGAGAUGUUUCUCUUCAAAGCUCUAGGAAGAAACUAGAAUUGACGGGUGCUGGGGUUUUCUUGCGACGUCAGCCCGAAGCUCCAAUUGAGCCGGUUGAGAAAUGAGGAUUUUAACUAAAUAAAGUUAAUCAUGAUGAUGUGGCAUUGUGAAAUGAUGUUGAGUUGGAUCAACUUGCUAAUGGAGAAUUGGACUCGAAAGGGCGUUAGACUUUUAUCCGACUUGCAAUUAUCAGCCAUUGACACCAUCUAAUACUAUGGAGAAUGAUCCACAUGGAUAUGUUGUUGGUCUGUUGUUCUUAAAACAGACGAAGGUGACCUUUGGACUGUUGUUGUGAGAUAGACGUCGUCCAGAUACCAAAUGUCUAAUGGUUGGCGUACUUUUGAAUUUCUUCGUCGUUCAAAAAAGUGGGUCAAUGCAAUGGUUUAGUGAGUUGGGUUGUUGAAAACAAGGGAAUGAGGAGUAUGUAUGUUGCAUGAAUGGAAAAGUGUGAAGAAUCAAUGUUUACAGCAUGGGUACAACUUAUGGAUCAUAAGGUUGACAAAUGAUAACUAACAGAUCAUUUAUUUUAGAUUUGCUUCUUUCAGUAAUUCUUUACUUUGGCACCAUGGGUUCAUUUAUGAUUUAUUAACUAUUCGACUUCAGUCUUCUAUGGUUACCCCUUCAAGAGUGGUUCAGUAUGAUGAUGACGGUGAAAGAUGGAAACAAAUUGAUUUUGAUAAGCAAGGAGCGUAUUUAUUUAAAUAGGUGAAGAUAAAGAAGUGAGCGCAGAAUGCAUUGUGCUCAUGGGUGAGGGCGUACAGCGUGCAUCGCGGGGAGUUGAAGAGUAUAUUCAUUGUGAAAAAGCUUCAUUUGAGACACGUGGCGAAAAGUUUUGCACUGAAGGAGCAGCCGUCCGUCACUGGUGGGGAGAUCGGUUCAGAAGAAGCACACAGAAAAGAGGAAAAGGACACACAAAGUAAAAGAAGGUUUGAAAAAGAAGAGAAAGAUGGCAAACCUGGAGGAGGGAGAUUGAGUUGGCAAAUGAAUGGUGAAAGAUGAUUGAUGGUGAAGGUGCAAAUUGCAAGCAAGCAGCUGGCUGGCUGGAAGGAGAAUAGAAUGAAUGUUUUGACAACCACCAAAACAAGUAAGUAUAUUACAUUACUGAGAGUGAGAUGAUGGAUAAUGUUAUUUGAGUUUCAAUUGAUAAUUAGGUUCCUGUUAAUACUUUGCGUUUCUUAAAUUGGUGUAAUGUUUGGUUUUUAUGCAAUUGAAUUUGGUGAUUUCAAA
Long non-coding RNA from Helianthus annuus (common sunflower), 2938 nucleotides. RefSeq lists it as uncharacterized. NCBI's taxonomy places the organism in Eukaryota, Viridiplantae, Streptophyta, Magnoliopsida, Asterales, Asteraceae. The record is from RefSeq and is a predicted model, not a curated record. The transcript is spliced from 13 exons.